This 397-nucleotide ribosomal RNA is filed under the name uncultured bacterium. RNAcentral describes it as "partial 16S ribosomal RNA". It matches the Rfam family "Bacterial small subunit ribosomal RNA", at positions 338 to 732 of the family's 1533-position model. The record is from RNAcentral.
CCUACGGGUGGCAGCAGUGAGGAAUAUUGGUCAAUGGGCGGGAGCCUGAACCAGCCAAGUCGCGUGAGGGAAGACGGCCCUAUGGAUUGUAAACCUCUUUAGUCGGGGAGCAAUGCCGGGCACGCGUGCCCGGAGGGAGAGUACCUGCAGAAUAAGCAUCGGCUAACACCGUGCCAGCAGCCGCGGUAAUACGGAGGGUGCGAGCGUUAUCCGAUUUGUGUGGGUUUAAGGGGUUCGUAGGCGGAUUUUUAAGUCAGCGGUAAAACGUACGGGCUCAACCCGGGCCGGCCGUUGAAACUGGGGAUCUUGAGUGGGGGAGAGGUAUGCGGAAUGCGUGGUGUAGCGGUGAAAUGCGUAGAUAUCAGGAGGAACACCGAUUGCGAAGGCAGCAUACCGG